Molecule: unclassified non-coding RNA, 780 nt
Filed under: Hevea brasiliensis (rubber tree)
Lineage: Eukaryota; Viridiplantae; Streptophyta; Magnoliopsida; Malpighiales; Euphorbiaceae
Source: RNAcentral
GUAUUGGAUAUGGAAUCCUUAUCUUUUGCACUUUUAUCAACUAAUUUCUUCAACCUUCAUUGACUCGGAUCAAUAUGAAUUUGUAUUAUGUUUUUUUCAUUUUUCAGGUACUGUAAAAAGUAGACAUUUAUUUGGAUCUUAUAACAAAACAAGGAAUGCUUAUUAUGACUGGGAAAAAGUUGCUUUCAAUUCUCUUUAACAGCAUCUCCUUCUUGUCAAUCUCAAUGAUAUUUAGAUGGAUUUUAUGAGGGAUGACCUUGGAUGAGGAUAUGUGAUGCUCAGUUAAGAUUGUGAGCCAAAACAUGUUAACAUUGAUAUCAAUCUCUCCUUAUAAACAAAGGAGAAAAAAUCAGGGUGUAAUUAUAGAUCGAAGUUAUAUUCAAUGGCUAAUUUUUGCCCUAUAAUUUUUAUGAACUCAUUUGCAAGAUCAAAUCCUUUCCUCUACGAUAGUUAGGGGUAAAUUACACAGACAAUACCUCAGCUUAGGUAGGGGUAUGUAACAGUGUGGUACAUAAACUUCAAUUUGUAACAUAAAACACCAUGAUCUUUAAGUAACAUAAAGUAACACAAAACCCCCUAUGGCCUUCAGUAACUAGUUUCUAGGUUAUUUUUGCUGAUGUGACACUUGUUUGAUUAAAAAAAAAUAUAUAUUUUCUCUUUAUUAAUUUGACACUUAUCAUGAAAAAAUUUUAAUUAUUCUCUCUCUACUCACAAUUCCGACAAUCCAAUUAGCACAAAUCAACCUUUCAAUAACCCAUAUUCUGUUUAACUGAAGUUACC